AGAGUUUGAUCCUGGCUCAGGACGAACGCUGGCGGCGUGCCUAACACAUGCAAGUCGAACGGAACUGUUUUGAUGAAUUUCUUCGGAAUGAAUUAGAUUUAGAUUAAUGGCGGAAGGGUGAAUAACGCGUGGGUAACCUGGCUUCGAGAGGGGGAUAAAAUUCUGAAAAUAAUGGUAAUACCGCAUGACAUACUCGGAACCACAUGAUUGUGAGAUCAAAGAUUUUAGCGCUUGAAGAUGGACUCGCGUCCGAUUAGUUAGUUGGUGAGGUAACGGCUCACCAAGACCACGAUCGGUAGCCGGAUUGAGAGGUUGAACGGCCACAUUGGGACUGAGACACGGCCCAGACUCCUACGGGAGGCAGCAGUGGGGGAUAUUGCGCAAUGGGGGCAACCCUGAUGCAGCGACGCCGCGUGAAGGAUGAAGUUUUUCGGUUUGUAAACUUCUUUUAUCAAGGACGAAACUGGACGUUCCUUAAUGAGUAAGCUCCGGCUAACUACGUGCCAGCAGCCGCGGUAAUACGUAGGGAGCAAGCGUUGUCCGGAUUUACUGGGUGUAAAGGGUGCGUAGGCGGUUUUGCAAGUCAGAUGUGAAAUCUAUGGGCUCAACUCAUAAACUGCAUUUGAAACUUUAGAGCUUGAGUGCAGUAGAGGCAGGCGGAAUUCCUAGUGUAGCGGUGAAAUGCGUAGAUAUGGGGAGGAACAUCAGUGGCGAAGGCGGCUUGCUGGGCUUUAACUGACGCUGAGGCACGAAAGCGUGGGUAGCAAACAGGAUUAGAUACCCUGGUAGUCCACGCUGUAAA
Molecule: ribosomal RNA, 802 nt
Filed under: uncultured bacterium
Lineage: Bacteria
Description: bacterial SSU rRNA
Rfam family: Bacterial small subunit ribosomal RNA
Source: RNAcentral